AAAAAUUUAGUUAAACCUAUAACAUUAGCUUGUCAAGCUAAAAUUAUUACAAAAAUAAUUUUUA
RNAcentral lists this transfer RNA (64 nucleotides) under Trigonopterus sp. 6 AH-2016. Its description in RNAcentral is "tRNA-Asp". The record is from RNAcentral. Lineage: Eukaryota; Metazoa; Arthropoda; Insecta; Coleoptera; Curculionidae.